GAAAGAAGAGGGUCAGGGGUUGGGGCUACCAUCCCUUUGGUCUGUAGUUGAGAAAGGGGGCCUCCGCUCAGGGCUCGGGGAGGAAAGGCUCAGCCGCAAAACUUGGAAAUGGGAGUCUCGUACCCUUUGGCCUGUGUUUGAGGGUGAGGGAGCAAGGCACCUCUAAGGGUUCUAGUCUUUGCUUCUGGGGCCCAAGAAAAGGUGCAGUGGAACGCCCAGGCUCUCUGGGAGAAGCUGGCUCUUCUGGGGCUUGUUCUGGAACAAGGGAAAGGAGGCUCAGACCAUCCUGUUGGCCCAAAUCAUGGCCCCUGAGCCGUGCAUUCAACUGCCAGGCCAGUGUCUUCCAGGUGGCGGACUCAAGUGGUGUCACAACAACCUCAUGGAAGAGGCAGUAGGGGGAUGCUGCUGCAGAUGGUGCGUGAGAGAGGAAGAAGUUCCUUCAUUCAGAGGCAUCCACUCAACUGAUUCUGCUGCUGCUGCUGCUGCUAAGUCACUUCAGUUGUGUCCAACUCUGUGCGACCCCAUAGACGGCAGCCCACCAGGCUCCCCUGUCCCUGGGAUUCUCCAGGCAAGAACACAGGAGUGGGUUGCCAUUCCUUCUCCAAUGCAUGAAAGUGAAAAGUGAAAGUGAAGUCACUCAGUCAUGUCCGACUUUUAGUGACCCCAUGGACUGCAGCCCAUCAGGCUCCUCCAUCCAUGGAAUUUUCCAGGCAAGAGUACUGGAGUGGGUUCCCAUUGCCUUCUCCAUUUUAGAUUCUAUAUAUAAGUGAAAACAGAUUUUUAUCUUCCUCUGUCUGAUUUUUUUCACUAACUAUAGUAACCUCCAGGUCUAUAUGUGUUGCAAAUAACAAGAUUUCAUUCUUUUAUAUAGCUGCAUAAUUUUCCAGUGUGUGUACAUCUAUCUCAUAUCUUUUUUAUCCAUCUGUUUGUUGAUGAACACUUAGGUUGCUUCUGUUAUCUCGGCUAUUGUAAAUAUGCUGCAAUAAAAAUUAAAACUAACUUUUCAAAUUAGUGUUUUCAUUUUCUUUAGAUGUAUGCCCAGGAGUAGAAUUGCUGGAUCACAUGGUAGUUCUAUUUUUAGUUUUUCUGAGGAACCUGCCUACUGUUCUCCAUAGCAGCUGCACCAAUUUACCUAUUUACAUUCCUAUCGAAGUGUACUAGGAGCCCUGGUCUUCAUAUCUCUCUGAUACUUGUUACUUCUUGUCUUUAGGACUACCGUCAUCCUAACAACUGUGAGGUGGUAUCUCACACUGGUUUUGAUGUGCAUUUUCCUGAUGAUUAGUGGUGGGGAGCAUCUUUUCAUGUGCCGGCUGGCCAUCUACAUGUCUUUUUGGAAAAACGACUCUCUCUUCUUCAAUUCUGAAUGAUAACUUUGCUGGGUCAUAUCAUUGGUUGUAGUUUUUGUUUUUGUUUUUUUUUCCCUCCCCCCUCUUUAAGAA
Molecule: long non-coding RNA, 1439 nt
Organism: Bos taurus (domestic cattle)
Lineage: Eukaryota; Metazoa; Chordata; Mammalia; Artiodactyla; Bovidae
Source: Ensembl